AAUCUUUCAAAAAAACUGAGAGCUCAAACAUUGAUUUGAGUGCUGUGAAUCUUCUAUUUGAAUAGGAAGAUCUGAUGC
Vicia villosa (hairy vetch) is the source of this 78-nucleotide small nucleolar RNA. RefSeq annotates it as small nucleolar RNA snoR64a. Lineage: Eukaryota; Viridiplantae; Streptophyta; Magnoliopsida; Fabales; Fabaceae. The record is from RefSeq and is a predicted model, not a curated record. The transcript has a single exon.